This 201-nucleotide long non-coding RNA is filed under the name Homo sapiens (human). RNAcentral describes it as "HSALNT0053923". Lineage: Eukaryota; Metazoa; Chordata; Mammalia; Primates; Hominidae. The record is from RNAcentral.
GUUUAGUUCAUCUUUUGGAAACACUAAUCAGGCUUGGCGAGGAUGCCAUGAGAAAGGAAGCUCGGAUUUAGUUGCAAUUGUCUCUGAUAGAUGCGCCCUCUCAGAGGUUCCUUUAGCUGCAGAUAAACCCACUCAAAGCCUCAAAGUUUUAGCAGUAAGAAAAAUAUGGACAGGCCUAUUACUCUGUACCCUGUGGAACCC